Molecule: ribosomal RNA, 447 nt
Filed under: Daphnia dentifera
Lineage: Eukaryota; Metazoa; Arthropoda; Branchiopoda; Diplostraca; Daphniidae
Description: partial 12S ribosomal RNA
Source: RNAcentral
AGUUAACGUUAAAUUUUUGAAGUUAUCUUAGCUUUUUUGUUGGGUGAAAUCAGUAUAAAGAGUUUCUCUUUCUUUUAAAAUUAAUAGGAAUUAAAAAACUUUGAUUUAAAACCAGGAUUAGAUACCCUGUUAUUCUAAGUUAUAUUUAGACAGGGUAGUAAAAGUUGUUCUUCAAACCCAAAGAUUUUGGCGGCACUUUAUCCAAAUAGAGGAGCUUGUCCCUUAAUCGAUAGUCCCCGUUUUAUCUUUCCUCUGUUUGUAGAGCUUGUAUACCGCCGUUGUCAGAUCACUUUUAGAGAAUGUUUUCAAGUUAAAAGACUUUUCUACUUCAGGUCAAGGUGCAGUUUAUAUAGAGGUGGAGGUGAGCUACAAUUUUCUUUAGAAAUACGGAUUUCAAGCCUCGAAGCUGGUUGAAGGUGGAUUUAUUAGUAAAGUAAUUUAAGUAAA